This 876-nucleotide ribosomal RNA is filed under the name uncultured archaeon. Its description in RNAcentral is "bacterial SSU rRNA". It matches the Rfam family "Archaeal small subunit ribosomal RNA", at positions 22 to 903 of the family's 1478-position model. The record is from RNAcentral.
GGCUACCGCUAUUGGAGUUCGAUUAAGCCAUGCGAGUCGAGAGUCUUAGGGACUCGGCGUACCGCUCAGUAACACGUGGGUAACCUGCCCUAUGCUGGGGAAUAACCUCGGGAAACUGAGAAUAAUGCCCCAUAGUUCACUACGCCUGGAACGGUGAGUGGAUGAAAGCUCCGGCGGCAUAGGAUGGGCCUGCGGCGUAUCAGGUCGUAGGGGGUGUAACGUACCCUCUAGCCAUCGACGUGUACGGGUGUUGGGAGACAUAGCCCGGAGAUGGAUUCUGAGACACGAAUCCAGACCCUACGGGGUGCAGCAGGCGCGAAAACUUGGCAAUGCGAGAAAUCGUGACCAGGGAACUCCAAGUGGCUGGGGUAAGACCCAGUCUUUUCUUGACUCUUCAAAGGUCUUGGAAUAAGAGGUGGGUAAGGACGGUGCCAGCCGCCGCGGUAAUACCGGCGCCUCAAGUGGUAGUCGAUUUUAUUGGGCCUAAAACGUCCGUAGCCUGUUUGGUACAUUCGUGGGUAAAUCAACCAGCUCAACUGGUUGAAUUCUGCGAGCACGGCCAGACUUGGGACCGGGAGAGGUGUGGGGUACGCUCAGGGUAGGGGUAAAAUCCUGUCAUCCUGAGCGGACCACCUGUUGCGAAGGCGCCACACUAGAACGGAUCCGACGGUCAGGGACGAAGCCUAGGGGCACGAACCGGAUUAGAUACCCGGGUAGUCCUAGGUGUAAACGCUGUGGACUUGGUGUUGGGGAUGAUCCGAUCAUUCUCAGUGCCGAAGCGAAGGUGAUAAGUCCACUGCCUGGGGAGUACGGUCGCAAGGCUGAAACUUAAAGGAAUUGGCGGGGGAGCACCGCAACCUGAGGAUUGUGCGGUUU